RNAcentral lists this long non-coding RNA (247 nucleotides) under Mytilus galloprovincialis (Mediterranean mussel). Lineage: Eukaryota; Metazoa; Mollusca; Bivalvia; Mytilida; Mytilidae. The record is from RNAcentral.
ACAAAACAAAGAUUCACAUAAAACUAUAUUCAUUAAACGCUCAUGUCAAAACGCCGUUUUUGGUUCAAAAGCAGGUGAAUUAUAUGUAACUCCAAUGUUACAAGUAUAUAUUAAUCGUACAACAAUUUUUAAAUUCAAUUACAUAUUAAUAAGGACAGACACAAUAUUUAUCACUGUUUUCUCUUACUCCCCUUGACAUGGUGUUUAUUUUGGUUUGUAAGCGCCGCUGCACAUAAAUCACUCAACA